This 511-nucleotide long non-coding RNA is filed under the name Capsella rubella. RNAcentral describes it as "long non-coding RNA (CRUB_LNC004889)". The record is from RNAcentral. Lineage: Eukaryota; Viridiplantae; Streptophyta; Magnoliopsida; Brassicales; Brassicaceae.
UUUUGAUUUGUAUUAUCUCGCUCUGAGCUAGCCGACUUCAAGGGAACUUGGUAGAGGGAGCUCACAUCGUUCGCGUAAUUUGGUCCGUGAGGUUUCGUUCUGGGAAACCUCAUGGAUUUUGAUACCCGGUUACUUUCGCAUGACGUAAGAGGGGCGUAUGUGGUCGAGAAAUUUGAGGUAUUUGCCGUUGACGGCCCAGUCUCGGACAUCAAUUGAAAGGCUUCUAGUGAUAUUAGACUUUGCAUUCGGGCUUCUUCUACUUGCACUCGCUCUUCACCUCCUGCAGCAAAUUCAAGAAGAACAAUCAAAAUCGUUUAUCGCUUCUUCUAACUCCUUCAGCUUUAAUGCUUUGGUUGAGUGGUUGGACCGAAUUUCAGAUUUAAAAUUAUGCUUCCAUGUUUUUAUCUUUUUUGCCAUGGGACCAUGUUUAUAGGUUAUAAUCAUUGAUUGUAAGCCUAAACCAUUUUCAUUUUAAUGAAAUAUUUACAUUCUUAGCAAAAAAAAAAAAUAA